GAGUUUGAUCCUGGCUCAGAACGAACGCUGGCGGCAGGCCUAACACAUGCAAGUCGAACGAAGUCUUCGGACUUAGUGGCAGACGGGUGAGUAACGCGUGGGAACCUACCUGGAGGUUCGGAAUAACUCGGGGAAACUCGGGCUAAUACCGGAUACGCCCUUACGGGGAAAGAUUUAUCGCCUUUAGAUGGGCCCGCGUUGGAUUAGCUUGUUGGUGAGGUAAAAGCUCACCAAGGCGACGAUCCAUAGCUGGUCUGAGAGGAUGAUCAGCCACACUGGGACUGAGACACGGCCAGACUCCUACGGGAGGCAGCAGUGAGGAAUAUUCGGCAAUGGGCGCAAGCCUGACCGAGCCAUGCCGCGUGAGUGAAGAAGGCCUGCGGGUUGUAAAGCACUUUCAACAGAGAAGAAAACACGGUGUUAAUACCACCGGACUAUGACGUUAUCUGUACAAGAAGCACCGGCUAAUUCCGUGCCAGCAGCCGCGGUAAUACGGAAAGGUGCGAGCGUUAAUCGGAAUUACUGGGCGUAAAGCGUGUGUAGGCGGUUUAGUAAGUCAGAUGUGAAAUCCCCGGGCUUAACCUGGGGAACUGCGUUUGAUACUAUUAGACUAGAGUACAGUUGAGGG
Molecule: ribosomal RNA, 628 nt
Filed under: uncultured bacterium
Lineage: Bacteria
Description: bacterial SSU rRNA
Rfam family: Bacterial small subunit ribosomal RNA
Source: RNAcentral